GGCACGAUAGGCGAGACUGAAGACUUGGAUGUGAAUGAACCUGCACAAGCAGAUGGCACUUCAAGUCAUCUCUAUAGGGAUCCUCAAGCAGGAGAUGCCAGAUUGCCAUCAUGACUGGACUUUAGGAAGUUAUAUUUGGAUGUGUUGAAGGAGAACACUGCUUUGAGGGAGAAGCUCCAGGAAACACAGCUGCAGCUCAGUGAGAGCAAAGUGGAGCUGGAACGACUCCGACAGAGUCAGGAGAAUGGCUGUGAGCGCCCUGCUCUACUGGAGCUGGAGAGAUUUGAGAAGAAGGCACUUGAGAGAAAAGCAUCAGAGCUGGAGGAUGAGCUCAAGGUUCUGAUUGACCUGCGUGCCGAUAACCAGCGUCUGAAAGAUGAGAACGCCUCCCUCAUCCGCGUCAUCAGCAAGAUCUCCAGAUGAGCUCUAUAUGUGCCGCUACCCUCCCAAACCACUAAGUGGCAGCACUGUGCCAUUCUGCACAUCUCUGCCCAGAGUAAACUGGAACGACGCUGUUCACUUUCUGCAUGGCCAUAGCACAUAGAAUCUUUGUGUGUGUUUGUCUGGGACUGGCCUCUCACCCUUGUGUUGCCUAAACUACUGUUUUCCAAACUAAAAUGCACAUAACGAUAAAGCCUAAAGGAACGUGUAGACCCAGCCUAACCCACAGUUCGAGAAAUUUGAGCUCCUUGUGCACAACUGUCAGGAGAUUCUACUACUCCAGAUCCUCAGAACCCAGUGAAGACUAGACCCAGUACAGAUACAGUUCUAGAGCCCUCUGCUCUUUGUUCACGUCCAGCAGAGAACGCUAGAACUCCAAUUCCUCUGAGUGUAGUUGAGUGAAGUCUUGACCAAAUCACCCUUGUCGUUCUGGAAGCCACAACCCUUUGAGCAGAACUAGCACAAAAUUCUGGGACUACAGUUUCAUCGAGUCUGGUUUUGUUCAAUGUAAAUGCAAAUUAAAUACUUGAAGUGCUGCAGAAUGGAGAAUAAUUGUAAGCCGCUUUUGUUCUGUAUAUUUAAAAUGUAAGGAAUUCUUUCAUGUGCGCUGUGCUUGAUAUCUUUACCUUGUAGCUUUAUAUGAAAAAAGCCAGUACAUGGGUAACAGCUUAUUUAUUGUUUUUCUUUCCCCCUCUUCUUUGUACGCUAGCCAUGGGUAGUCACUGUAACUUGUAACAACUGCUCUGAUAGUGCUCAACACUAGUGGGCACCACUGAUCAGGGAAGCACGUGAAUCAGGUGUUUCAGCUCUGGCCACAUGACCUAAAGAAGUGCUUGUAUAUCUUGGACACUGCAGAGAUGCAACCAUGUGCCAAACGUUAUUUUCCACUCUUAUGUGCUCCAACAUGCUUGUUAGUGGACCCACUGUAGUGAAUUGUUCCCCCGCACCCCACCCACAUUCUCUCAAAUACUGGGCUAGUUCAGUAGUACUAUAACAGACUCCUAUCGCUUCACUGUCAUCAGAAACACGUCUAGCUCCACCAUGUAAAGGAAAUACUAUGUGCUUCAAUGUGCUUCAGUGAUUCACAUACAUUCAGCAGUAUCCUGUUCCCUUGGAAAA
Molecule: non-coding RNA, 1560 nt
Organism: Electrophorus electricus (electric eel)
Lineage: Eukaryota; Metazoa; Chordata; Actinopteri; Gymnotiformes; Gymnotidae
Source: RefSeq, a predicted model, not a curated record